This is a long non-coding RNA of Parus major (Great Tit), 2071 nucleotides long. RefSeq lists it as uncharacterized. The transcript is spliced from 3 exons. Lineage: Eukaryota; Metazoa; Chordata; Aves; Passeriformes; Paridae. The record is from RefSeq and is a predicted model, not a curated record.
GAUCUGCUGCUGAAACACGGUGAGAAGGAACAGGAGACUUCUGCUGCACUUAGAGCUUGAGUCUCAGCUAAUACCCCCGGGGGAAGGAUUUGAACAUAACUUAAAGAUGUCUUCAAGAAAUGGGAAUUAGUCAAUGGAGGCAGCACGAGCUCAGCACCCCAGCCCAGCAGUGUUCUCCACCAAGAACCUGGGCAGAGCUGAGGUGUUUUCCCAUCUAACCCUGGAGAAUGAUACACUUCAGGUUGGAGACGGGCGCCCUUCUGCUCCAGGGAGAUUUUCCAGCCUGUGAAAGUGCUUAAUGAGCUCUGGAGUCCAGGAAGAAGGUGCUUGAAAUAAGAUCCUUUGGAGCAUCCUCUGCUAUUUAUCACAAGAACAGCUGCAGAGAUGAAACAUGAGAUGUAGAAGGCAAAAUGAAUAAAGAUUGUCAUCUUUUCUGGUUUGUCUCUUCCUGCGGGAUUUCUGAGGUUCCCUUGCAGAGAUACCAAUCUUGUGUGAUUACAGUGAGUAUAAUUAUGUCUGCAUGCUUAGCACCAAUUUCCAAGCUGAAGACUAUCAUUUUAUUGUGUAUUAUUUAUAAAGUUCCUGCUAGGCCUAAAGCUUGCUUCAGGAGAGAUCACUGUUGAAUAUUUGAGCUGAACCUGUCUCAUUCCACUUUACAACCCACUUUAUCAGCACAGUGUCCACAGUAAUGCUGAACACACUUCCCAACAGGGUAUAUUUCAACUGUUCCAUUACUUCAUCAUCAGACUGGUCCUCCUUGUUGGUAAAUCCCUUCUUACACCUUGGACUGAGUGCACCAGCUGACAAGAGGGUCAGGGUUUCCUGCUGAAUGUUGUUUCACCACCAGCAUUUCACUCUGAAAACUUUGGACUGUUCUCAGUUUUCAAGUCAGCAACUGGAUCAUAUUUAUUUAGAGCUGGCUGUGCAAAUGUAUUGAUUUGUAGUCUGCUAUUGUUUUGUGCCUUGUAUUUAUGUGGCUCUAAUGGACUGAAAGUGUUUCAAAACUGAAGGGGAUUAAAAUAUAGAGCUUUUUCUCUGUGUAAGUGUAGGGAAUAUUAUAACUUGAAAUCUGUUCUAAAAUGUGAUUUUACAGCAUUUAUAUACUGUUAUUUUAAAGCUAGAGAUACUGUGCCAUCCAGUAAUUGAGUACAAAGCCAUGAAAAUAGAAAGGAAUGAAGGUACAGAGAGGAAACAAUGAAGCUGGCAACACAAACCCUUGUCAAAUGUGAGGAAUGAGCUUUGAAACAAGCUCUGACUUUGCCUCAGCACCACUUGCUUGGUCGAAUAAUCUCACCCCCCCAGCCAGAUGUCACCAUAUGGCCAGUGACAACUUUCAAUUAAAGGCCUAUGGUGUUUAUCAUCUCCUUUUACAUUUGGAUAAAAAGCAGUCCUGUGACCUGCCCAUUGCACCCAAGAGGGUUGUGCUCCUUCUUUAAAAGAUGUGCAUGCCAAGACUCACUCCCAUCCUUGGUGCUAUAAAUUUCCAAGCUCACUUUUAAUGUUUUGAACCUUUGUUCAGCCCUUGCCAGCUCUGAAAACUGGAUUGAGCCUGCAUCUCCAGCAGUCCCUGGGUACUGAGGGUGCCUUUUGGAGAAGCUUAGGGCUCAACUCUUGAGAGUGCUGAAAAUGUCACGGUGCAGUUGGUCUGAGCCUCACAGCUGCCUUGGCUGCCCACUUCUGCAAGGGCCAUUUUCAGAGCAAGGCCACACAGAUGGGAAUGUUGUGUCAUGCAUCCCAAGUACACAGCAAGGAGCCCACUGCACUCUGACAGCACCAGCCACAUUUAACAAGGAGUCCUGGCACCCUUCACAAAUGAGGGACAGAUUUAAUGAUCCAAUCAGCUUCUCAUCCUUGAGACUGUGUAAUGGUUACCCAACAAAUUUGAUUAUAGGAGUUACUAUGUGUUUUAAGCUAACUUUUGUGCAUGGCUGGGCUUUCCCAGUAAUCCUAUACAGUAUCCAAGGCACCAUUCAGUGGCUUCUUGCAAAUUCCUGCAAAGCAAUUACUGUCUUUUCUACGUAUUCGGAAAUUGUCAGUUUCAGGUGCAAUUAAAGUAAAAUUGCUUUCAGUA